RNAcentral lists this ribosomal RNA (112 nucleotides) under uncultured eukaryote. Its description in RNAcentral is "partial small subunit ribosomal RNA". It matches the Rfam family "Eukaryotic small subunit ribosomal RNA", at positions 1676 to 1785 of the family's 1831-position model. The record is from RNAcentral.
UCGCUACUACCGAUUGAAUGAUUUAGUGAGUUUCACGGACCGACGCCUUAGGUAGGGUUUCUUGCUUGAGGAAUUGGAAAGUGCUGCAAACUUGACCAUUUAGAGGAAGUAA